This 402-nucleotide ribosomal RNA is filed under the name uncultured bacterium. Its description in RNAcentral is "bacterial SSU rRNA". It matches the Rfam family "Bacterial small subunit ribosomal RNA", at positions 355 to 774 of the family's 1533-position model. The record is from RNAcentral.
UGGGGAAUAUUGGACAAUGGGCGAAAGCCUGAUCCAGCAAUACCGAGUGAGUGAUGAAGGCCCUAGGGUUGUAAAGCUCUUUUAGCAAGGAAGAUAAUGACGUUACUUGCAGAAAAAGCCCCGGCUAACUCCGUGCCAGCAGCCGCGGUAAGACGGAGGGGGCUAGCGUUGUUCGGAAUUACUGGGCGUAAAGAGUGCGUAGGCGGCUUAGUAAGUUGGAAGUGAAAGCCCGGGGCUUAACCUCGGAAUUGCUUUCAAAACUACUAAUCUAGAGUGUAGUAGGGGAUGAUGGAAUUCCUAGUGUAGAGGUGAAAUUCUUAGAUAUUAGGAGGAACACCGGUGGCGAAGGCGGUCAUCUGGGCUACAACUGACGCUGAUGCACGAAAGCGUGGGGAGCAAACA